RNAcentral lists this ribosomal RNA (629 nucleotides) under Escherichia coli. RNAcentral describes it as "partial 23S ribosomal RNA". It matches the Rfam family "Bacterial large subunit ribosomal RNA", at positions 612 to 1241 of the family's 2925-position model. Lineage: Bacteria; Pseudomonadati; Pseudomonadota; Gammaproteobacteria; Enterobacterales; Enterobacteriaceae. The record is from RNAcentral.
AUAAUGGGUCAGCGACUUAUAUUCUGUAGCAAGGUUAACCGAAUAGGGGAGCCGAAGGGAAACCGAGUCUUAACUGGGCGUUAAGUUGCAGGGUAUAGACCCGAAACCCGGUGAUCUAGCCAUGGGCAGGUUGAAGGUUGGGUAACACUAACUGGAGGACCGAACCGACUAAUGUUGAAAAAUUAGCGGAUGACUUGUGGCUGGGGGUGAAAGGCCAAUCAAACCGGGAGAUAGCUGGUUCUCCCCGAAAGCUAUUUAGGUAGCGCCUCGUGAAUUCAUCUCCGGGGGUAGAGCACUGUUUCGGCAAGGGGGUCAUCCCGACUUACCAACCCGAUGCAAACUGCGAAUACCGGAGAAUGUUAUCACGGGAGACACACGGCGGGUGCUAACGUCCGUCGUGAAGAGGGAAACAACCCAGACCGCCAGCUAAGGUCCCAAAGUCAUGGUUAAGUGGGAAACGAUGUGGGAAGGCCCAGACAGCCAGGAUGUUGGCUUAGAAGCAGCCAUCAUUUAAAGAAAGCGUAAUAGCUCACUGGUCGAGUCGGCCUGCGCGGAAGAUGUAACGGGGCUAAACCAUGCACCGAAGCUGCGGCAGCGACGCUUAUGCGUUGUUGGGUAGGGGAGCGUUC